CAGCAAGGUUUUAUUAUCUGUCCAUGUGCUGUCUGUAAGAAUCAGAAGGGUUACUCCUCCUCAAGAGACGUUCACAUGCACCUGCUUCGGCACGGUUUCAUGCGAAGCUAUAAUUGUUGGACCAAGCAUGAAGAAAGAGGGGUUAGAAUGAAAGAAGAUGAAGAAGGGGAUGAUAUCGAUGACAACUAUCAUGAUCAUUUCGGUGAUACUUUCAUGGAGGAUGAUGCUGAAGGUGGGGAAGGGUUAGGUGAAGGUGAAGAAGAGGCACAUGAUGAGCCCGCUGAUGAUCUUGGUCGG
RNAcentral lists this ribosomal RNA (297 nucleotides) under Triticum aestivum (bread wheat). Its description in RNAcentral is "partial small subunit ribosomal RNA". Lineage: Eukaryota; Viridiplantae; Streptophyta; Magnoliopsida; Poales; Poaceae. The record is from RNAcentral.